AUUUGAAAGACUCUCGGCAACGGAUAUCUCGGCUCUUGCAUCGAUGAAGAACGUAGCGAAAUGCGAUACUUGGUGUGAAUUGCAGAAUCCCGUGAACCAUCGAGUCUUUGAACGCAAGUUGCGCCCGAAGCCAUUAGGCUGAGGGCACGCCUGCCUGGGUGUCGCCCAUCGUUGCCCC
This 178-nucleotide ribosomal RNA is filed under the name Calobota cytisoides. Its description in RNAcentral is "5.8S ribosomal RNA". The stretch from base 9 to 164 matches the Rfam family "5.8S ribosomal RNA". From Rfam's summary of the family: 5.8S ribosomal RNA (5.8S rRNA) is a component of the large subunit of the eukaryotic ribosome. The record is from RNAcentral. Lineage: Eukaryota; Viridiplantae; Streptophyta; Magnoliopsida; Fabales; Fabaceae.